CCUACGGGUGGCAGCAGUGAGGAAUAUUGGUCAAUGGCCGGGAGGCUGAACCAGCCAAGUCGCGUGAGGGAAGACGGCCCUACGGGUUGUAAACCUCUUUUUUCAGGGAGCAAGGUGCAGGUCGGGACCUGCUGUGAGAGUACCUGAAGAAAUAGCAUCGGCUAACUCGGUGCCAGCAGCCGCGGUAAUACGGAGGAUGCGAGCGUUAUCCGGAUUUAUUGGGUUAAAGGGGUGCGCAGGCGGAGGGGGAAGUCAGCGGUAAAAUUGCGGGGCUCAACCCCGCUCCGCCGUGGAAACUAUGUCCCUUGAGUGCGCGAAGGGUAGGCGGAAUGCGAGGUGUAGCGGUGAAAUGCAUAGAUAUCACGCAGAACUCCGAUCGCGAAGGCAGCCUACCGGCGCGCAACUGACGCUCAUGCACGAAAGCGUGGGUAUCGAACAGGAUUAGAUACCCGGGUAGUC
RNAcentral lists this ribosomal RNA (459 nucleotides) under uncultured bacterium. RNAcentral's name for it is "partial 16S ribosomal RNA". It matches the Rfam family "Bacterial small subunit ribosomal RNA", at positions 338 to 795 of the family's 1533-position model. The record is from RNAcentral.